ACGGAGUUAGUGGCGGACGGGUGAGUAACACGUGGGAACGUGCCUUUAGGUUCGGAAUAACUCAGGGAAACUUGUGCUAAUACCGAAUGUGCCCUUCGGGGGAAAGAUUUAUCGCCUUUAGAGCGGCCCGCGUCUGAUUAGCUAGUUGGUGAGGUAAAGGCUCACCAAGGCGACGAUCAGUAGCUGGUCUGAGAGGAUGAUCAGCCACAUUGGGACUGAGACACGGCCCAAACUCCUACGGGAGGCAGCAGUGGGGAAUCUUGCGCAAUGGGCGAAAGCCUGACGCAGCCAUGCCGCGUGAAUGAUGAAGGUCUUAGGAUUGUAAAAUUCUUUCACCGGGGACGAUAAUGACGGUACCCGGAGAAGAAGCCCCGGCUAACUUCGUGCCAGCAGCCGCGGUAAUACGAAGGGGGCUAGCGUUGCUCGGAAUUACUGGGCGUAAAGGGAGCGUAGGCGGACAUUUAAGUCAGGGGUGAAAUCCCGGGGCUCAACCUCGGAAUUGCCUUUGAUACUGGGUGUCUUGAGUAUGAGAGAGGUGUGUGGAACUCCGAGUGUAGAGGUGAAAUUCGUAGAUAUUCGGAAGAACACCAGUGGCGAAGCGACACACUGGCUCAUUACUGACGCUGAGGCUCGAAAGCGUGGGGAGCAAACAGGAUUAGAUACCCUGGUAGUCCACGCCGUAAACGAUGAUUGCUAGUUUGUCGGGAUGCAUGCAUUUC
RNAcentral lists this ribosomal RNA (719 nucleotides) under Brevundimonas vesicularis. RNAcentral's name for it is "bacterial SSU rRNA". It matches the Rfam family "Bacterial small subunit ribosomal RNA", at positions 86 to 840 of the family's 1533-position model. The record is from RNAcentral. Lineage: Bacteria; Pseudomonadati; Pseudomonadota; Alphaproteobacteria; Caulobacterales; Caulobacteraceae.